Molecule: long non-coding RNA, 807 nt
Filed under: Helianthus annuus (common sunflower)
Lineage: Eukaryota; Viridiplantae; Streptophyta; Magnoliopsida; Asterales; Asteraceae
Description: hypothetical non coding rna
Source: RNAcentral
UCAAAUAGAAAUAAUUAUUUGUGUCAGAGGUCUACGAAACCUCGUUUGGUCUAAACCGAUCCGUUUAUAAACCGGGCGAUAAUUUUUAGUUUGGUCUCAAACCGGUUUGAUCUAAACCAGUUUGGAUUAAGAACGGGUUUUAGAGUUGAAAACCUCUACUCGUUCGACAGUGACACCACACACACAACGCUGCCAGUAACCACUGAACCACCACGGCCAAAAUCGGAAUCUUCCAUGAAAACCCUAAUCGCCGCUGGAAACCACCGUCACUUUCGUAUCAUCAUCCAAAACGUUACAAAUCGAAGCUAAGUGUCCGACGGCUGCGAAAAAGGAGUGGGAAAAAUCGUAAAACUUUUGAUAAGAGAAAAUGAAGAUGGAUUUGCAGAAGGUGAGAAAAGUCAAAGAAAGAAACAAAUAAGAGAAAAACCAUAUGACAAUUGGGGUCUCUUUCGUAAUUUCCAUUAUUGUUAGGCAGGUGGGUGUGGGACGAGCUGAUCUAGUGGGCCACCAUAGAGAGAGAGAGAGAGAGAGAGAUAUUUAAUUGUUUUUGUUUUAAUGUGGGCCAACAUUUUCAGAUUUGGGACUAUCCUCCACACCCUUGGGUAGUCCCUAAGGGGAUGGUCCUCCACCCCAUGUGACGUGGCGUCUACGUGGCGGAUGGUUCCCAAAGGGACUACCCAAACCACACCCCAUGGUCUAAGAAGGCAUUAUAUAUUGACAAGUGUUCAAGAACUUAAAACCUAAACCCACUACACCACCACCACACCCCACCCCUCCACCACCCAAAAACCUAAACCCCCACCCUCC